UACCUGGAGGAAGAGAAAGAAAAAUCGAUUUCCUGAGUAGCGGCGAGCGAAACGGAAAGAGCCCAAACCAAGAAGCUUGCUUCUUGGGGUUGUAGGACACUCUAUACGGAGUUACAAAAGAAAGUUAUAAAUGAAGCGGUCUGGAAAGGCCCGCCAAAGACGGUAACAGCCCGGUAGUUGAAAUGGCUUUCCCUCCAGAGUGGAUCCUGAGUACGGCGGAACACGUGAAAUUCCGUCGGAAUCCGGGAGGACCAUCUCCCAAGGCUAAAUACUCCCUAGUGACCGAUAGUGAACCAGUACCGUGAGGGAAAGGUGAAAAGCACCCCGGAAGGGGAGUGAAACAGUUCCUGAAACCGUGUGCCUACAAGUAGUUAGAGCCCGUUAAUGGGUGAUAGCGUGCCUUUUGUAGAAUGAACCGGCGAGUUACGAUUUGUUGCAAGGUUAAGCGGAAAAAGCGGAGCCGUAGCGAAAGCGAGUCUGAAUAGGGCGCAUAAGUAACAGGUCGUAGACCCGAAACCAGGUGAUCUACCCAUGUCCAGGAUGAAGGUAAGGUAAUACUUACUGGAGGUCCGAACCCACGCACGUUGAAAAGUGCGGGGAUGAGGUGUGGGUAGCGGAGAAAUUCCAAUCGAACUUGGAGAUAGCUGGUUCUCUCCGAAAUAGCUUUAGGGCUAGCCUCGAGGUAAAGAGUCAUGGAGGUAGAGCACUGUUUGGACUAGGGGCCCUUCUCGGGUUACCGAAUUCAGAUAAACUCCGAAUGCCAUGUACUUAUACUCGGGAGUCAGACUGCGAGUGAUAAGAUCCGUAGUCGAAAGGGAAACAGCCCAGACCACCAGUUAAGGUCCCCAAAUAUAUGUUAAGUGGAAAAGGAUGUGGGGUUGCUUAGACAACCAGGAUGUUGGCUUAGAAGCAGCCACCAUUGAAAGAGUGCGUAAUAGCUCACUGGUCGAGUGACCCCGCGCCGAAAAUGUACCGGGGCUAAACAUAUUACCGAAACUGUGGAUGAACCUCUUUAGAGGUUCGUGGUAGGAGAGCGUUCUAAGGGCGGUGAAGUCAGACCGGAAGGACUGGUGGAGCGCUUAGAAGUGAGAAUGCCGGUAUGAGUAGCGAAAGAAGGGUGAGAAUCCCUUCCACCGAAUAUCUAAGGUUUCCUGAGGAAGGCUCGUCCGCUC
RNAcentral lists this ribosomal RNA (1172 nucleotides) under Listeria monocytogenes. RNAcentral's name for it is "partial 23S ribosomal RNA". It matches the Rfam family "Bacterial large subunit ribosomal RNA", at positions 207 to 1375 of the family's 2925-position model. Lineage: Bacteria; Bacillati; Bacillota; Bacilli; Caryophanales; Listeriaceae. The record is from RNAcentral.